RNAcentral lists this transfer RNA (82 nucleotides) under Caudoviricetes sp. Its description in RNAcentral is "tRNA-OTHER". Lineage: Duplodnaviria; Heunggongvirae; Uroviricota; Caudoviricetes. The record is from RNAcentral.
GGGCCUGAAAUGGUGUCGAUUGCGAUUAAGACCCUAAACGGGAAGUCGUAAGACCUGAGUUCAAUUCUCGGCAGGUCCACCA